UAUAAACGCUAGGGGCUCCACGUCGUGGGCUGAGAGGUACCCUUGGAACCUGAUCCGGGUCAUGCCGGCGUAGGGAAGCGCGACUGCAGCAUG
Molecule: non-coding RNA, 93 nt
Filed under: Acidithiobacillus sp.
Lineage: Bacteria; Pseudomonadati; Pseudomonadota; Acidithiobacillia; Acidithiobacillales; Acidithiobacillaceae
Description: TPP sequence
Rfam family: TPP riboswitch aptamer (THI element)
About the family: Vitamin B(1) in its active form thiamin pyrophosphate (TPP) is an essential coenzyme that is synthesised by coupling of pyrimidine and thiazole moieties in bacteria.
Source: RNAcentral